AACGCAAAUUGCACUCUCUGGCAACCCGGGGAGUAUGCCUGUUUGAGGGUCAGUGUUUAUAAAAAUCGGGUGCGUUGCAAUUUUUGUGACGUUUCCGGAGUUUGAGUUAUCUUAAUUAACUUCGGUUUUUAAGAGGCUUAAAAUUGACCUUUUUUUGUGCAUUUUAGACGUGCAUAAAUUUUUUUUUAUUCGUCCAUCCUAAUGCCAAAAUCUAUUAGAUGCGACCAUAUCUGGUGGUUUCGUGUCUAUAAAUUUUUCAUGAUUUUGACCUCAAAUCAGGUAGGAACACCCGCUGAACUUAA
This 302-nucleotide unclassified non-coding RNA is filed under the name uncultured Rhizophagus. RNAcentral describes it as "sequence contains 5.8S rRNA gene, ITS2, 28S rRNA gene". Lineage: Eukaryota; Fungi; Glomeromycota; Glomeromycetes; Glomerales; Glomeraceae. The record is from RNAcentral.